GAUGAACGCUGGCGGCGUGCCUAAUACAUGCAAGUCGAGCGAACGGACGAGAAGCUUGCUUCUCUGAUGUUAGCGGCGGACGGGGGAGUAACACGUGGAUAACCUACCUAUAAGACUGGGAUAACUUCGGGAAACCGGAGCUAAUACCGGAUAAUAUUUUGAACCGCAUGGUUCAAAAGUGAAAGACGGUCUUGCUGUCACUUAUAGAUGGAUCCGCGCUGCAUUAGCUAGUUGGUAAGGUAACGGCUUACCAAGGCAACGAUGCAUAGCCGACCUGAGAGGGUGAUCGGCCACACUGGAACUGAGACACGGUCCAGACUCCUACGGGAGGCAGCAGUAGGGAAUCUUCCGCAAUGGGCGCAAGCCUGACGGAGCAACGCCGCGUGAGUGAUGAAGGUCUUCGGAUCGUAAAACUCUGUUAUUAGGGAAGAACAGAUGUGUAAGUAACUGUGCACAUCUUGACGGUACCUAAUCAGAAAGCCACGGCUAACUACGUG
This 497-nucleotide ribosomal RNA is filed under the name uncultured bacterium. RNAcentral's name for it is "partial 16S ribosomal RNA". It matches the Rfam family "Bacterial small subunit ribosomal RNA", at positions 28 to 507 of the family's 1533-position model. The record is from RNAcentral.